AAGCAAUUUUCCUGCCUCAGCCUCCCGAGUAGCUGGGAUUACAGGCGUGUGUGCCACCAUGCCCAGCUAAUUUUUUUGUGUUUUUACUAGAGACAGGGUUUCACCAUGUUGGCCAGGCUGGUCUCGAACUCCUGGCCUCAGGUGAUCCACCUGCUUCAGCCUCCCAAAGUGCUGGGAUUACAGGCGUCAGCCACCACACCUGGCCAAAAUAUUUUUUAUUUUCUAUUAUGAUAAUUCAAGGCAACAAAUUUUUCUGUAAGCACUAUUUUAGCUGCCUCUUAAAAUGACUUUUUUUUUUAAAUUUUUUAUUUAUUUAUUUAUUUACUUUUGUGGGGGGCAGAUUCUCACUAUGUUGCCCAGACUGAACUCAAACUCCUGGGCCCGGGUGAUCUUCCUGCCUCAGUCUCCUGAGUAGCUAGGACUAUAUAGACACUCAUCACCAUGCCCGGCUUGCAUCUCACAGAUUUUAACAUGUGCAUUUUCAUUUUAAUUCCAUUCAAAGUAUUUUUAUAUAUUUUUAUUUGUUUUUGACCAUGAGCUAUUUAACAGUGUGAUAAUUUCCAAAUAUUUGGGGAUUUUCUGGAAAUAUUUAUGUUAUUAUUUCUGUUGUAGACAAAGAACAUAUUGUGUAUGAUUUAAAUAUUUUAAAUGUAUUGCAACUAAUUUUAUGGCCUGGUAUAUGGUCUAUCUCGGCGUAUGUUCUAUGUAGACAUGAAUAAAAUGUGUAUUAUGCUCUUACUGUAUGGAAUGUUCUAUAAAUAUCAAUGAGGUCAUGCUGGUUGAUAGUGUUCUUUGAGUCUUCUAUUGCACUAUGGUUGUCUUCUAUUUCAUUCAUCAGUUAUUGGGGAGAAUAAUAAUGAGGUUUCCAACUCUAAUUGUGUACUUGCCUAUUUCUCCUUUCAGUUCUAUCAAAUAUUGCUUCAUGUAUUGCAUUCUUUUGUCUUCUUGAUGAAUUCACCCCUUUAUCACUAUAAAAUGUCCCUCUUUAUCUCUGCAAAUAGUCCUGGUUCUGAAUCUACAUUGUCUAACAUGAAUAUAGCCAUUCUAGCUUUCUUUUAAUAAGUGUUUGUGUGGUAUUUCUUUUUCCACCACUUUUAACCUAUCAGUAUCACUCAAUAAAUCAUAUAUACAUAUAUAUGUAUAUACAUGGUUUCAUAUAUAUAUGUGUGUAUAUAUAGUUUCUUGAAUAUAGCUUAUAGUUGAGACUUGCUUUUUUUAAUCCAAUCUUACAAUUUCUGGCUUUGAACUGCGUUCCUUAGUUUAAAUUUGCCAUCUUACUACCAGCUUCUAUUUGUCCCAUCUAUUCUUUGCUCCGUUUUUGCUCUUUUCCCUUUGAGUUAAUUGAAUAUUUUUUAUAAUUCCAUUUUAUUUCCGUCAUUGGAUUAUUAUUUCUCUUUCUUUUAAGGAGUUGCUCUAGGGUUUACAGUAUCUAUCUUUAGUUUUUCACAGUCUACCUUCCCAUAGUAUCGUUCCUCUUCCUCUGUAACAUAAGAAACAUACAACGCUAUACCUUCAUCCAUGCCUUCUGUCCUCUGUGUUAUUGCUGUCAUAUAUUUUACUGCUACAUAUUUUAUAAACUUCAUGAUACAUUGUUUUUAUUUUUGCUUUAAACAGUCAGUAGUCUUUAUACGAAUUUUUUUUUUUUUUUUUUUUUUUUUUUGAGAGGGAGUCACUCUGUGGCCCAGGCUGGAGUACAGUGGUGCAAUCUCGGCUCACUGCAAGCUCUGCCUCCCGUGUUCACAC
This 1743-nucleotide long non-coding RNA is filed under the name Homo sapiens (human). Its description in RNAcentral is "non-protein coding lnc-PRMT8-5:1". The record is from RNAcentral. Lineage: Eukaryota; Metazoa; Chordata; Mammalia; Primates; Hominidae.